CCGACGGUGAGGGGUGAAAGCUGGGGGAGCAAACCGGAUUAGAUACCCGGGUAGUCCCAGCUGUAAACGAUGCGCGUUAGGUGUGUCAGUGACCACGUGUCACUGAUGUGCCGAAGGGAAACCGUGAAACGCGCCGCCUGGGGAGUACGGUCGCAAGGCUGAAACCUAAAGGAAUUGGCGGGGGAGCACCACAACGGGUGGAGCCUGCGGUUUAAUCGGACUCAACGCCGGAAAUCUCACCGGAUAA
This 247-nucleotide ribosomal RNA is filed under the name uncultured archaeon. RNAcentral's name for it is "partial 16S ribosomal RNA". It matches the Rfam family "Archaeal small subunit ribosomal RNA", at positions 691 to 937 of the family's 1478-position model. The record is from RNAcentral.